Chroicocephalus ridibundus (black-headed gull) is the source of this 356-nucleotide long non-coding RNA. RefSeq lists it as uncharacterized. Lineage: Eukaryota; Metazoa; Chordata; Aves; Charadriiformes; Laridae. The transcript is spliced from 2 exons. The record is from RefSeq and is a predicted model, not a curated record.
GCAGGGAUCCCGGCGCGGGGUGAGGCGGCCCGGGUUGCCAUGGGGACGGCGGGCCGCACACACGCAGGAACAGCCGGCGGUUUAUUGCGCGGGCACACCUGUCUGGGCGCUCCGCUCUUUGCUCCGCCGGACGGACGGCACGAACGUUCUCCGGCGAUAAAGGCCGAAGGAGGAUGCGCGGCUCCAGGUGCCAUCUUUGCCGGGUGAUGCCAGUCCCAAGAAGCGAUGCCCAAGAGCUCUGAAAAAGAAGUUGCCGAAUCGGUCGCUCGGACGUUAAACCUGUGACAGACAGGCCCAGCAAACCUCCAUCAGUGCCUUUGUGCAUAGUGCAAUUAAAACUGAUUGUCAUUAGCUGA